RNAcentral lists this ribosomal RNA (520 nucleotides) under Klebsiella terrigena. Its description in RNAcentral is "bacterial SSU rRNA". It matches the Rfam family "Bacterial small subunit ribosomal RNA", at positions 75 to 588 of the family's 1533-position model. Lineage: Bacteria; Pseudomonadati; Pseudomonadota; Gammaproteobacteria; Enterobacterales; Enterobacteriaceae. The record is from RNAcentral.
AGAGCUUGCUCUUUGGGUGACGAGCGGCGGACGGGUGAGUAAUGUCUGGGAAACUGCCUGAUGGAGGGGGAUAACUACUGGAAACGGUAGCUAAUACCGCAUAACGUCGCAAGACCAAAGUGGGGGACCUUCGGGCCUCAUGCCAUCAGAUGUGCCCAGAUGGGAUUAGCUAGUAGGUGAGGUAAUGGCUCACCUAGGCGACGAUCCCUAGCUGGUCUGAGAGGAUGACCAGCCACACUGGAACUGAGACACGGUCCAGACUCCUACGGGAGGCAGCAGUGGGGAAUAUUGCACAAUGGGCGCAAGCCUGAUGCAGCCAUGCCGCGUGUAUGAAGAAGGCCUUCGGGUUGUAAAGUACUUUCAGCGAGGAGGAAGGCGUUAAGGUUAAUAACCUUGUCGAUUGACGUUACUCGCAGAAGAAGCACCGGCUAACUCCGUGCCAGCAGCCGCGGUAAUACGGAGGGUGCAAGCGUUAAUCGGAAUUACUGGGCGUAAAGCGCACGCAGGCGGUCUGUCAAGU